This 253-nucleotide ribosomal RNA is filed under the name uncultured bacterium. RNAcentral describes it as "partial 16S ribosomal RNA". It matches the Rfam family "Bacterial small subunit ribosomal RNA", at positions 524 to 776 of the family's 1533-position model. The record is from RNAcentral.
UACGUAGGGUGCGAGCGUUAAUCGGAAUUACUGGGCGUAAAGCGUGCGCAGGCGGUUUUGUAAGCCAGAUGUGAAAUCCCCGAGCUCAACCUGGGAAUGGCAUUUGGGACUGCAAGGCUCGAGUGCGGCAGAGGAGACUGGAAUUCCUGGUGUAGCAGUGAAAUGCGUAGAUAUCAGGAGGAACACCGAUGGCGAAGGCAGCUCGCUGGGACGGUACUGACGCUGAGGCGCAAAAGCGUGGGGAGCGAACAGG